AGGGCGCACGGUGGAUGCCUUGGCACUAGAAGCCGAUGAAGGACGUUACUAACGACGAUAUGCUUUGGGGAGCUGUAAGUAAGCUUUGAUCCAGAGAUUUCCGAAUGGGGAAACCCAGCAUGAGUUAUGUCAUGUUAUCGAUAUGUGAAUACAUAGCAUAUCAGAAGGCACACCCGGAGAACUGAAACAUCUUAGUACCCGGAGGAAGAGAAAGAAAAUUCGAUUCCCUUAGUAGCGGCGAGCGAAACGGGAAGAGCCCAAACCAACAAGCUUGCUUGUUGGGGUUGUAGGACACUCUAUACGGAGUUACAAAGGACGACAUUAGACGAAUCAUCUGGAAAGAUGAAUCAAAGAAGGUAAUAAUCCUGUAGUCGAAAAUGUUGUCUCUCUUGAGUGGAUCCUGAGUACGACGGAGCACGUGAAAUUCCGUUGGAAUCUGGGAGGACCAUCUCCUAAGGCUAAAUACUCUCUAGUGACCGAUAGUGAACCAGUACCGUGAGGGAAAGGUGAAAAGCACCCCGGAAGGGGAGUGAAAUAGAACCUGAAACCGUGUGCUUACAAGUAGUCAGAGCCCGUUAAUGGGUGAUGGCGUGCCUUUUGUAGAAUGAACCGGCGAGUUACGAUUUGAUGCAAGGUUAAGCAGUAAAUGUGGAGCCGUAGCGAAAGCGAGUCUGAAUAGGGCGUUUAGUAUUUGGUCGUAGACCCGAAACCAGGUGAUCUACCCUUGGUCAGGUUGAAGUUCAGGUAACACUGAAUGGAGGACCGAACCGACUUACGUUGAAAAGUGAGCGGAUGAACUGAGGGUAGCGGAGAAAUUCCAAUCGAACCUGGAGAUAGCUGGUUCUCUCCGAAAUAGCUUUAGGGCUAGCCUCAAGUGAUGAUUAUUGGAGGUAGAGCACUGUUUGGACGAGGGGCCCCUCUCGGGUUACCGAAUUCAGACAAACUCCGAAUGCCAAUUAAUUUAACUUGGGAGUCAGAACAUGGGUGAUAAGGUCCGUGUUCGAAAGGGAAACAGCCCAGACCACCAGCUAAGGUCCCAAAAUAUAUGUUAAGUGGAAAAGGAUGUGGCGUUGCCCAGACAACUAGGAUGUUGGCUUAGAAGCAGCCAUCAUUUAAAGAGUGCGUAAUAGCUCACUAGUCGAGUGACACUGCGCCGAAAAUGUACCGGGGCUAAACAUAUUACCGAAGCUGUGGAUUGUCCUUUGGACAAUGGUAGGAGAGCGUUCUAAGGGCGUUGAAGCAUGAUCGUAAGGACAUGUGGAGCGCUUAGAAGUGAGAAUGCCGGUGUGAGUAGCGAAAGACGGGUGAGAAUCCCGUCCACCGAUUGACUAAGGUUUCCAGAGGAAGGCUCGUCCGCUCUGGGUUAGUCGGGUCCUAAGCUGAGGCCGACAGGCGUAGGCGAUGGAUAACAGGUUGAUAUUCCUGUACCACCUAUAAUCGUUUUAAUCGAUGGGGGACGCAGUAGGAUAGGCGAAGCGUGCGAUUGGAUUGCACGUCUAAGCAGUAAGGCUGAGUAUUAGGCAAAUCCGGUACUCAUUAAGGCUGAGCUGUGAUGGGGAGAAGACAUUGUGUCUUCGAGUCGUUGAUUUCACACUGCCGAGAAAAGCCUCUAGAUAGAAAAUAGGUGCCCGUACCGCAAACCGACACAGGUAGUCAAGAUGAGAAUUCUAAGGUGAGCGAGCGAACUCUCGUUAAGGAACUCGGCAAAAUGACCCCGUAACUUCGGGAGAAGGGGUGCUCUUUAGGGUUAACGCCCAGAAGAGCCGCAGUGAAUAGGCCCAAGCGACUGUUUAUCAAAAACACAGGUCUCUGCUAAACCGUAAGGUGAUGUAUAGGGGCUGACGCCUGCCCGGUGCUGGAAGGUUAAGAGGAGUGGUUAGCUUCUGCGAAGCUACGAAUCGAAGCCCCAGUAAACGGCGGCCGUAACUAUAACGGUCCUAAGGUAGCGAAAUUCCUUGUCGGGUAAGUUCCGACCCGCACGAAAGGCGUAACGAUUUGGGCACUGUCUCAACGAGAGACUCGGUGAAAUCAUAGUACCUGUGAAGAUGCAGGUUACCCGCGACAGGACGGAAAGACCCCGUGGAGCUUUACUGUAGCCUGAUAUUGAAAUUCGGCACAGCUUGUACAGGAUAGGUAGGAGCCUUUGAAACGUGAGCGCUAGCUUACGUGGAGGCGCUGGUGGGAUACUACCCUAGCUGUGUUGGCUUUCUAACCCGCACCACUUAUCGUGGUGGGAGACAGUGUCAGGCGGGCAGUUUGACUGGGGCGGUCGCCUCCUAAAAGGUAACGGAGGCGCUCAAAGGUUCCCUCAGAAUGGUUGGAAAUCAUUCAUAGAGUGUAAAGGCAUAAGGGAGCUUGACUGCGAGACCUACAAGUCGAGCAGGGUCGAAAGACGGACUUAGUGAUCCGGUGGUUCCGCAUGGAAGGGCCAUCGCUCAACGGAUAAAAGCUACCCCGGGGAUAACAGGCUUAUCUCCCCCAAGAGUUCACAUCGACGGGGAGGUUUGGCACCUCGAUGUCGGCUCAUCGCAUCCUGGGGCUGUAGUCGGUCCCAAGGGUUGGGCUGUUCGCCCAUUAAAGCGGUACGCGAGCUGGGUUCAGAACGUCGUGAGACAGUUCGGUCCCUAUCCGUCGUGGGCGUAGGAAAUUUGAGAGGAGCUGUCCUUAGUACGAGAGGACCGGGAUGGACAUACCUCUGGUGUACCAGUUGUCGUGCCAACGGCAUAGCUGGGUAGCUAUGUGUGGACGGGAUAAGUGCUGAAAGCAUCUAAGCAUGAAGCCCCCCUCAAGAUGAGAUUUCCCAACUUCGGUUAU
RNAcentral lists this ribosomal RNA (2814 nucleotides) under Staphylococcus aureus. RNAcentral's name for it is "bacterial LSU rRNA". It matches the Rfam family "Bacterial large subunit ribosomal RNA". The record is from RNAcentral. Lineage: Bacteria; Bacillati; Bacillota; Bacilli; Caryophanales; Staphylococcaceae.